UGGGGAAUAUUGCGCAAUGGGGGGAACCCUGACGCAGCAACGCCGCGUGAAGGAUGAAGGUUUUCGGAUCGUAAACUUCUUUGAUGAGGGACGAAGAAAUGACGGUACCUCAAAAACAAGCCACGGCUAACUACGUGCCAGCAGCCGCGGUAAUACGUAGGUGGCAAGCGUUGUCCGGAUUUACUGGGUGUAAAGGGCGUGUAGGCGGGAAUGCAAGUCAGAUGUGAAAUUCCGGGGCUCAACUCCGGGGCUGCAUCUGAAACUGUAUUUCUUGAGUGCUGGAGAGGAAAGCGGAAUUCCUAGUGUAGCGGUGAAAUGCGUAGAUAUUAGGAGGAACACCAGUGGCGAAGGCGGCUUUCUGGACAGUAACUGACGCUGAGGCGCGAAAGCGUGGGGAGCAAACA
RNAcentral lists this ribosomal RNA (404 nucleotides) under uncultured prokaryote. RNAcentral describes it as "bacterial SSU rRNA". It matches the Rfam family "Bacterial small subunit ribosomal RNA", at positions 355 to 774 of the family's 1533-position model. The record is from RNAcentral.